Molecule: long non-coding RNA, 940 nt
Filed under: Heterocephalus glaber (naked mole-rat)
Lineage: Eukaryota; Metazoa; Chordata; Mammalia; Rodentia; Bathyergidae
Description: lncRNA (ENSHGLG00100039828.1)
Source: RNAcentral
GGUGAACCCUGAAAUGUAGUCUCCUCUUAAAGUUAUCAGCAGGAAUCAGGGUAGGAUUCCUUCUGGGAUUCUCCAUUCUCCAUUCUCCAGGGCUUAUUCUUGAGCUAACUGUAAUUUUGCAUCUUGAGCAUGAUGACGUUGUGUGUGUUGCUAAGCAGAUUGAUGAAGACUCUGCCAUCUUCAAGGCAGAUGGUUGAAGAUGGUUCCCAAGGUCACCAUGGCCCGUGAUGUGAAGCCAGAAAAGGAGCAGAGUACAGAUGCCUGGAUCUCCCACUCACCAAAAUCUUCUUCAAUCAGACUCUCUUUCUUGGAUUUCAUGGGUGGAAAGACCCUGGCCAGCUCCCUGGGGUGGUUCAUCACACCCAAGUCUUUCCUGAUGAACUUGCCUCAAGUCUUUGAAGACACAUUUAACACAUCACAUCACCCUUGUUAUACUGUGCUAAUGCUUGACUGCUGAGAAAUCUUGAUGCUGGAUGAUCUCACAUUCUACUUUCUUCAAGAAUCUUCACAAACUUAAACAAUUGGGAAUGGGUGUGUGUGUGUGUGUGUGUGUGUGUGUGUGUGUGUGUGUGUGUCUAUGUAUGUCCUUUCUUCCUCUGGCAAUCAUGAGCCUAUUUCCCAGAGCCCAUUGAAGUACCUACUACAUUCCCAUAGUAACUAUAUUUCCAGAAUGUUCCUGGUCCAAAUCAGAUUUGAGAUUGCCUCUGGUUCAUCCCUACACGGCUCCUGCCUUUGGUAGAGGUGCUCUGGGCAAUAUGAUGCUCAACAAAUAUUAUCUCCCUAUGCCUAAAGCCCAAAAUCACCACUGCCAUUCUAAGUUGUCAAUAUAACAUGUAAGAAACAUUCAUUAAAUGUUGUAAGUUGAAAGUGUUUAUUUACCUCCACUGUGUGCCAAAUGCCACAAAAUUUAUAGUAUGGAGAAAAAAUACAUAAAUCCUUG